AAAAUUUCAUCAAAAUGAAAUGCUUCCGCACAAGGGUUAUAUUUAUAGAACCACUUGUGUGGGAUGCAAGCUAAAAAUCCCACUUAAGUGUAUGUGACCCAUAUCUUAUGGUAUACCGAAAAUCACUUAAGCGCGUGGUACCUUACCAUAUUUCGUAUUAUGCUUAAGUGCACCGUACCUUACAAUGCUCUACAAUUCACUUAAGUGCACUGUACCUUACGAUGUUCCUUAUUUACUCUAUCUCUCAUUAAUAUGUC
RNAcentral lists this long non-coding RNA (257 nucleotides) under Lathyrus oleraceus (garden pea). RNAcentral describes it as "Pisum sativum (pea) long non-coding RNA (PSAT_LNC016221)". Lineage: Eukaryota; Viridiplantae; Streptophyta; Magnoliopsida; Fabales; Fabaceae. The record is from RNAcentral.